CGGCAGACACCCAACCGACGGAGCCACCCAGGCGCCCCAGAGCCCAUUCUGAGAGCCUGCUGCCAUGCUGUCCUUGGGGGAGCUCCAUCUUCCAGUUUCCCAGGCGUGUCUGGGACACACUUGGCUUCUCCUUCCUCACUCCGGACACCGGCCUCUCCAGACCUCCUCCUCCAGGCUCCUCGCUGGGUCCUGGGCCCCCGCUCUGGCCUUCAACACUGGCCCCUGUUGCUCCAGCUGAAUUUGGUCAUCUUCUCCAUCUUGGAGGAGAUCCAGCCUCCCCAGGUGCCAGGACCCCACCGGCUGCGGUCAGAGAGACGGCUACUGCUCACAGCUCCAGCCAGUGCAGACCAGGCCCAUGGAGAAAGUCAACUACAAGAUGAAAUCCCAGGUAGCAACCCCGUCUUCUCAGCUGCUCAUGGACCCUCGACGCACCUCCUCCCCUCCCUGCCUAGAGUUCCUUCCCUCCCUCCAUGAUCUACACUGACUGCAAAGCUCUCUCUCUGAAGCCGAGCUCCCCAGGGGCUUGCCUGCCCUGGCGGGCUCUAUGCCGCUGCCAUCACCCCAAGAUGUAGUGUCUUCCAGAUA
Molecule: non-coding RNA, 585 nt
Organism: Callorhinus ursinus (northern fur seal)
Lineage: Eukaryota; Metazoa; Chordata; Mammalia; Carnivora; Otariidae
Source: RefSeq, a predicted model, not a curated record